RNAcentral lists this unclassified non-coding RNA (218 nucleotides) under Hevea brasiliensis (rubber tree). Lineage: Eukaryota; Viridiplantae; Streptophyta; Magnoliopsida; Malpighiales; Euphorbiaceae. The record is from RNAcentral.
AGAAGAGAGCGGGGAGAGGAGAAUUUGUUUUUGUUUUAACGUAGGGGCAAUGGGGUAAUUUCCCUACUACCAUUUUGCCCCAAUAAUCUGGGUCAAUCAGUCAAAUUUCCCAAGGUACCUGACUACGCGUAUCUGCCGUUUGAGUCCGAGACGACGGGAAGAGUCGGAGAGAGUAGACAAAGGGAAAAGGAAUAGAUCGUCGGGAGCUUGGAUGAAUU